Molecule: long non-coding RNA, 695 nt
Organism: Chenopodium quinoa (quinoa)
Lineage: Eukaryota; Viridiplantae; Streptophyta; Magnoliopsida; Caryophyllales; Amaranthaceae
Exons: 2
Source: RefSeq, a predicted model, not a curated record
GUUUGCAUGAGACCAAAUUUAGGCCCAUUUCUCCUUCCUUUUCACGGCAGCCACAAGGCUUCCCUACUGCCCAUAUUCCACCUAAGUAACCCCCCAUAUUCACCUUUAUUAAUCCUAAUAAAACCUAUUAAUUUGUUGCCCAAAAACCCUUUCACUUCCCCUUCUCCAUCCACGUACAAUGAAGGCCGAAAACACAUCAAUUUUGUCCAUCAAAAGAUGCAGCAACCCGCCUCUCUUCUCCCCAUCUUUUUCGUGAGUUUCAAAGGAAAAUUAAAGGGGAAUUCAAAGCCUAAUUUUCUGAUUAAACCCACCCCAAUUCGUGCUCAAAUUCCUCCUCUUUCGAACUGUCAGAACCGAAGAACUUUGAGGGUUUUCAAGAGGGCUGCUUGGGUGGGUGUUUGUGCGUAUUGUUGCUGCUGUUUGUGCUUGGUGUUGCUGUCCUUAUCUUCUAGUUUUGGUGGCCUAUACAUCAAGGUUUUAUUUGUUUAUUUGAUCUAUGUGACGAUGGGUUGGGAAUUGAGAGUUUAGAAACCAACUUUUGGGCUUGUAUGCCUUGUUGUUAGUUGUUUGUUUAAGUGCUUUGAAUUUGGUUUAGUUUGAUUUCAGUUUGGCCGAUAAGGGUUGUUCUGCUCUUGGCUUUUGAAUGUAAUUGAUUUGCCUAUGUUUAAGUUCAUUUGUUAUUGUCUUUUUCUUCA